Molecule: ribosomal RNA, 429 nt
Filed under: Chloroflexota bacterium
Lineage: Bacteria; Bacillati; Chloroflexota
Description: Chloroflexi bacterium partial 16S ribosomal RNA
Rfam family: Bacterial small subunit ribosomal RNA
Source: RNAcentral
UGGGGAAUAUUGCACAAUGGGCGCAAGCCUGAUGCAGCCAUGCCGCGUGUGUGAAGAAGGCCUUCGGGUUGUAAAGCACUUUCAGCGGGGAGGAAGGCGUUAAGGUUAAUAACCUUGGCGAUUGACGUUACCCGCAGAAGAAGCACCGGCUAACUCCGUGCCAGCAGCCGCUGUAAUACGGAGGGUGCAAGCGUUAAUCGGAAUUACUGGGCGUAAAGCGCACGCAGGCGGUCUGUCAAGUCGGAUGUGAAAUCCCCGGGCUCAACCUGGGAACUGCAUUCGAAACUGGCAGGCUAGAGUCUUGUAGAGGGGGGUAGAAUUCCAGGUGUAGCGGUGAAAUGCGUAGAGAUCUGGAGGAAUACCGGUGGCGAAGGCGGCCCCCUGGACAAAGACUGACGCUCAGGUGCGAAAGCGUGGGGAGCAAACAGG